AACGAACGCUGGCGGCAUGCCUAACACAUGCAAGUCGAACGAGACCUUCGGGUCUAGUGGCGCACGGGUGGGUAACGCGUGGGAACCUGCCCUUAGGUUCGGAAUAACUCCCCGAAAGGGGUGCUAAUACCGGAUAAUGUCUUCGGACCAAAGAUUUAUCGCCUUUGGAUGGGCCCGCAUUGGAUUAGCUAGUUGGUAGGGUAAAAGCCUACUAAGGCGACGAUCCAUAGCUGGUCGGAGAGGAUGAUCAGCCACACUGGAACUGAGACACGGCCCAGACUGCUACGGGAGGCAGCAGUGGGGAAUAUUGGACAAUGGGCGAAAGCCUGAUCCAGCAAUGCCGCGUGAGUCAUGAAGGGCUUAGGGUUGCAAAGCUCUUUUACCCGGGACGUUAAUGACAGUACCGGGAGAAUAAGCUCCGGCUAACUACGUG
RNAcentral lists this ribosomal RNA (433 nucleotides) under uncultured bacterium. Its description in RNAcentral is "partial 16S ribosomal RNA". It matches the Rfam family "Bacterial small subunit ribosomal RNA", at positions 29 to 507 of the family's 1533-position model. The record is from RNAcentral.